UAAAAGGGCCUUUGCCGUCAGUGGCACACAGUUCCAAUCGGUCUGUGCGGAAUCGCAAUCAAGAGAUUUCGGAGGCAUAAUUUAUGAAACCGGAGGCAGCUGAGCUGAAGAGUUCGGCGCCCGG
This 124-nucleotide small nuclear RNA is filed under the name Lottia gigantea (owl limpet). RNAcentral's name for it is "U11 spliceosomal RNA". It matches the Rfam family "U11 spliceosomal RNA". Lineage: Eukaryota; Metazoa; Mollusca; Gastropoda; Lottiidae. The record is from Rfam by way of RNAcentral.